AUUGAACGUUGGCGGCAUGCUUUACACAUGCAAGUCGAACGGCAGCGGGGGCUUCGGCCUGCCGGCGAGUGGCGAACGGGUGAGUAAUGCAUCGGAACGUGCCCAUGUCUGGGGGAUAACGUAGCGAAAGCUACGCUAAUACCGCAUACGUCCUGAGGGAGAAAGCGGGGGAUCUUUGGACCUCGCGCGAUUGGAGCGGCCGAUGUCGGAUUAGCUAGUAGGUGAGGUAAAGGCUCACCUAGGCGACGAUCCGUAGCGGGUCUGAGAGGAUGAUCCGCCACACUGGGACUGAGACACGGCCCAGACUCCUACGGGAGGCAGCAGUGGGGAAUUUUGGACAAUGGGGGCAACCCUGAUCCAGCCAUGCCGCGUGAGUGAAGAAGGCCUUCGGGUUGUAAAGCUCUUUCGGCCGGGAAGAAAUCGUGGUCUCUAACAUAGGCCAUGGAUGACGGUACCGGACUAAGAAGCACCGGCUAACUACGUCG
This 485-nucleotide ribosomal RNA is filed under the name uncultured bacterium. RNAcentral describes it as "bacterial SSU rRNA". It matches the Rfam family "Bacterial small subunit ribosomal RNA", at positions 30 to 508 of the family's 1533-position model. The record is from RNAcentral.